RNAcentral lists this ribosomal RNA (468 nucleotides) under uncultured bacterium. Its description in RNAcentral is "partial 16S ribosomal RNA". It matches the Rfam family "Bacterial small subunit ribosomal RNA", at positions 28 to 507 of the family's 1533-position model. The record is from RNAcentral.
GACGAACGCUGGCGGCGUGCUUAACACAUGCAAGUCGAACGGAAAGGCCCUGCUUUUGUGGGGUGCUCGAGUGGCGAACGGGUGAGUAACACGUGAGUAACCUGCCCUUGACUUUGGGAUAACUUCAGGAAACUGGGGCUAAUACCGGAUAGGAGCUCCUGCUGCAUGGUGGGGGGUGGAAAGUUUCGGCGGUUGGGGAUGGACUCGCGGCUUAUCAGCUUGUUGGUGGGGUAGUGGCUUACCAAGGCUUUGACGGGUAGCCGGCCUGAGAGGGUGAACGGCCACAUUGGGACUGAGAUACGGCCCAGACUACAACGGGAGGCAGCAGUGGGGAGUAUUGCACAGUGGGCGGAAGCCUGAUGCGGCAACGCCGCGUGCGGGAUGACGGCCUUCGGGUUGUAAACCGCUUUCGCCUGUGACGAAGCGUGAGUGACGGUAAUGGGUAAAGAAGCACCGGCUAACUACGUG